RNAcentral lists this unclassified non-coding RNA (344 nucleotides) under soil metagenome. RNAcentral describes it as "partial contains 5.8S ribosomal RNA, internal transcribed spacer 2, and large subunit ribosomal RNA". The stretch from base 1 to 120 matches the Rfam family "5.8S ribosomal RNA", at positions 35 to 154 of the family's 154-position model. The record is from RNAcentral.
GAUGAAGAACGCAGCGAAAUGCGAUACGUAAUGUGAAUUGCAGAAUUCAGUGAAUCAUCGAGUCUUUGAACGCACAUUGCGCCCCCUGGUAUUCCGGGGGGCAUGCCUGUCCGAGCGUCAUUGCUGCCCUCAAGCACGGCUUGUGUGUUGGGCCUCCGUCCUCCUCCCGGGGGACGGGCCCGAAAGGCAGCGGCGGCACCGCGUCCGGUCCUCGAGCGUAUGGGGCUUCGUCACCCGCUCUUGUAGGCCCGGCCGGCGCUUGCCGACACAUCAAUCUUUUUUUCAGGUUGACCUCGGAUCAGGUAGGGAUACCCGCUGAACUUAAGCAUAUCAAUAAGCGGAGA